CAGCAGAUGGCGAUGAGCGUCUUUCAGGUGACUCUUCUUGCGUGACGUAUAAUGGACUGGACGGACGCUUCUUCAGGAACAACAAGGCGCCAACUCUUUCAACCACGUCGGUAGCUUGCUAGCCAACAUACGUUUUAGACCAUGUUAAUGUACAUUAGCUAAUCUCAGUGUUUUAAACAAGUUUCGCUUGACGUAUCAACUGGUUCAAUUUGCAAACGUGUUAAAGAUUGAUACUGAGCCUAGCACGAGGCUAGAUGCUAAUGCUAGCUAGCUAGCUAACAUCCCUGACCAUGAGCUCACUAAACUACUCCUCCCUUGCUAAUGAAGAGGGGGUCUGCUGUUUGGAGAAAGAAUCUUUCAGAAUGAAAAAGGAGGAAGAGGAGGCUGUUAUAGUGAAAGAAGAGAAAGAACCGUUUAGAGAGGAAGAUGAUGCUAUCUCAAUAAAGGUGAAGGAGGAAGACGUUUUGGGAGUGAAAGAGGAAGAGACAGAAUAUCAGAUUACCACCAGAGAGACACAUGACUAUCGUGGAUCCUCUGGGGAGCCUCAACAACAUCCUGAUGCUGACGAGGACAACACUAGCCCUUCCUCCCUCCCGGAGUCACCUUGUCGUGGCUCUCCCGGUAGCACCUUACUGCUGGGUAUGAAGAGGUCUGUGCUGCUGGUGGACUGCAGGAAAACAACGGGGAUGAGUGGAACUGUGGGAGGAGGAGAAGAGAGGAACGGAUCAGAUUUGACUCAAAGUAAGUGCUGUAGUUCAGUUUGAACAAAUAAAUAGAUCUGUCCACUGGUAUCUGUUACCAGGACAACCAGCAGAGUUCU
This 820-nucleotide long non-coding RNA is filed under the name Oncorhynchus kisutch (coho salmon). RNAcentral's name for it is "lncRNA (ENSOKIG00005026510.1)". The record is from RNAcentral. Lineage: Eukaryota; Metazoa; Chordata; Actinopteri; Salmoniformes; Salmonidae.